AUGACGAAGCAGGAGGUGAGGGGUGUGGACUACCUCAAGAUGGAGAAGAACAGGUGGAGAUGGAGAGCCAUGAGUCCAAGAUGCUGGUGGCCACCUAGUCCAUCAACACCACAACCUCCGAGAUCAUCAGGCCCAAAAAAUCAAAGCUAUUCCCUUAGCUACUUGAGCUGGUCGCUAGGUCAAUACCACACUCCUCACUCAUUCAUUUACCAUAUGCAUCCAGUACUGGUACCUCACAUGUUUCACUACUUCCUGUAUCUCUCGUUUUUUGCAUAG
RNAcentral lists this ribosomal RNA (276 nucleotides) under Triticum aestivum (bread wheat). RNAcentral describes it as "partial small subunit ribosomal RNA". The record is from RNAcentral. Lineage: Eukaryota; Viridiplantae; Streptophyta; Magnoliopsida; Poales; Poaceae.